UCUAUUAUCUAUGGCUAUUACCUAUGAUUAUCAGUGAUGAAAAAGUGAGUUUAUCUCCUUGCACGUGAAAAUUUAUAAAUUAAGGUUAUUGCGGGCAGCUUUUCAUUAUCUAUACCAUGGACUCGGCUCCCUGCACUAACCAGCUAGGAAAUGCCUUGCCGGUCAAAGCAUUCCGUUCUAAUGAUAUUGGAUGCAACAAUGGUGACUGAAGCUUGCUUCCUAAACGUGUCUGAUACAAGUUGACCCCAAAAGGAAACUGAUGCUAUUAUAAUUUCUCCUAUUUGUGACCUGUGUCUGGUCGAUAGUAUACUCUGGUAUUAUUCUUGCUGGAUUUGCUGGCUUUUUUACUCAAGGAUGUGUGGUACCUGAAGGAAACAUACAAGUAAAAGGAAUGAUUCUACAAUCAAUUGGUAAGUAGCAACAUUUAAUAAAACUGAAAGUACCAAAAUGUUUCAAACUGAGGAAGAAUUUUAUAAUUGGAAAUUAUCAAUGUACACUUUCAGUUCAUCAUUUAGAAAUAUUUUAUUCUGUAGUUAAUUAAUGUUUUCCUUACUAAAUGAGCUUGCAAAAUAUGUUAAGGUUAUUGUGAGGCACCAGUGAAUAGUUUACUUUAGUUCUGCAAUUGUAUAAAAAUUUCUGCGCAGUAUCUGGAAUUAAGUCUAUAGUUAGGAAUUAUGGAGGUGCACAUUCAAUCAAUUUAAAAACGUCGUUUCUUGAUAAAUUAAUUUCUUUAUUUAUUAAAGGAAAUAAAACUACUAAAAUGUAUUAAAGUUGCUAGAAGGCAUCAGUGUAAAGAAAUUUGUAGUUGGACAUUACCAGAACACUUUCAAUACCCAUUUUGUGAACGUCGUUUCUUUUUCUUGAAAAGUUCAUUUCUCCCUUAUGUUGUAUUUUGUGGUCUUAAAUUAAAGGAUGCACUUUUGGCCCCCAUUUUGAAAACGUUUUUAUUUUUUGAUUAAUUAAUUUCUUACUUAUUAAACCAGUUGAAAAUACCAAAAUUUAAUAAAGUAGUUGUGUGUGAACAUAAAAUUAUGUGGCUAAAACGUACUGGUUAAUAUUUUAAACCCUCUUCACUCAAACAGUCGCAAAAGAAUUAUAAUUGCUACUGUUGGCUGGUGAUGAGAAUACUUUGCAGUACAGCGGGUUGCAUACACGAAAGACUAUCAAUCACCAGCACUGUUUAAUAAAAACACUAAAUUUAUGUUACCAUGAAACCUUCCAGCGAAAUUAAAUAGCUGCGCUGUAGUCUAUUUAAAGAUAGAAAUGUUACACUUUGAGUCGAAAUUUGUAGGAAACUAAAUUUUUCUAUUUUAAUAAAAUAUUCUAAACUUAUUUGGUGGAUAAUACACUGUUGCUAUAAAUGUAAAUAAAUGCUUUUCACCUUGUUUUGUAUAUUUCUCUAAUAUGGGCAUUUUCAUUUUAUGUCGUGUACUUUACAAUUUUUAUAUGAUUUCUUAUAAAGAAAACUGUUAAUAGUUAAAACAACGAUUAACAGUUUUAUCUUUCAUAGGCACCUAAAGUCUAGAAUUUAUUUCUACUUUUACAAAAAGCAUUGCAUUCAUAUUGCCAAUUUAUAUUUAUGUUUAAAAAUCUUUCUACGUUUAUUUGGAAAGCAUGUUUUAUACAUACGUUUUAAACUUAUAUUAAACAAGGUUUUUUAUCCUGACAUCCUGACGUCAUUAACUAACUAUGUUUUUAACACUGUAUUAAUAUGCAAAUCCCGUGAGAUG
Agrilus planipennis (emerald ash borer) is the source of this 1730-nucleotide long non-coding RNA. RefSeq lists it as uncharacterized. The record is from RefSeq and is a predicted model, not a curated record. The transcript is spliced from 2 exons. Lineage: Eukaryota; Metazoa; Arthropoda; Insecta; Coleoptera; Buprestidae.